UCCUACGGGAGGCAGCAGUGGGGAAUAUUGGACAAUGGACCACAAGUCUGAUCCAGCAAUUCUGUGUGCACGAUGACGUUUUUCGGAAUGUAAAGUGCUUUCAGUCGGGAAGAAGUCAGUGACGGUACCGACAGAAGAAGCGACGGCUAAAUACGUGCCAGCAGCCGCGGUAAUACGUAUGUCGCAAGCGUUAUCCGGAUUUAUUGGGCGUAAAGCGCGUCUAGGCGGCAAGGAAAGUCUGAUGUGAAAAUGCGGAGCUCAACUCCGUAUGGCGUUGGAAACUGCCUUACUAGAGUACUGGAGAGGUAGGCGGAACUACAAGUGUAGAGGUGAAAUUCGUAGAUAUUUGUAGGAAUGCCGAUGGGGAAGCCAGCCUACUGGACAGAUACUGACGCUAAAGCGCGAAAGCGUGGGUAGCAAACAGGAUUAGAUACCCUGGUAGUCC
RNAcentral lists this ribosomal RNA (445 nucleotides) under uncultured bacterium. Its description in RNAcentral is "bacterial SSU rRNA". It matches the Rfam family "Bacterial small subunit ribosomal RNA", at positions 337 to 796 of the family's 1533-position model. The record is from RNAcentral.